This is a regulatory RNA element of 102 nucleotides. It matches the Rfam family "L2-Alphaproteobacteria ribosomal protein leader". The record is from Rfam.
GGGCACCUCAGUAGCGGGUUUAUCCGCGCGAAAGGGGGCCUUUAACAUAGCGGGUCCAAAGACAAGAACCUAAGGACACGCACGCUAAACGGAAGACAGAAA